CUACACGCUUAGGCUAUAUGGCAUAGCUUACGGCUCCUAGGCUACAAACCUGUACCGCAUGUUACUGUAUUGAAUAAUUUAGGCAGUUUUAACACAAUAGCAACUAGUUGUGUAUCUA
This is a long non-coding RNA of Sapajus apella (tufted capuchin), 118 nucleotides long. RefSeq lists it as uncharacterized. NCBI's taxonomy places the organism in Eukaryota, Metazoa, Chordata, Mammalia, Primates, Cebidae. The transcript has 3 exons. The record is from RefSeq and is a predicted model, not a curated record.